GAUGAACGCUGGCGGCGUGCCUAAUACAUGCAAGUCGAGCGAACGGACGAGAAGNCUUGGGCUUCUCUGAUGUUAGCGGCGGACGGGUGAGUAACACGUGGAUAACCUACCUAUAAGACUGGGAUAACUUCGGGAAACCGGAGCUAAUACCGGAUAAUAUUUUGAACCGCAUGGUUCAAAAGUGAAAGACGGUCUUGCUGUCACUUAUAGAUGGAUCCGCGCUGCAUUAGCUAGUUGGUAAGGUAACGGCUUACCAAGGCAACGAUGCAUAGCCGACCUGAGAGGGUGAUCGGCCACACUGGAACUGAGACACGGUCCAGACUCCUACGGGAGGCAGCAGUAGGGAAUCUUCCGCAAUGGGCGAAAGCCUGACGGAGCAACGCCGCGUGAGUGAUGAAGGUCUUCGGAUCGUAAAACUCUGUUAUUAGGGAAGAACAUAUGUGUAAGUAACUGUGCACAUCUUGACGGUACCUAAUCAGAAAGCCACGGCUAACUACGUGCCAGCAGCCGCGGUAAUACGUAGGUGGCAAGCGUUAUCCGGAAUUAUUGGGCCGUAAGCGCGCGUAGGCGGUUUUUUAGUCUGAUGUGAAAGCCCACGGCUCAACCGUGGAGGGUCAUUGGAAACUGGAAAACUUGAGUGCAGAAGAGGAAAGUGGAAUUCCAUGUGUAGCGGUGAAAUGCGCAGAGAUAUGGAGGAACACCAGUGGCGAAGGCGACUUUCUGGUCUGUAACUGACGCUGAUGUGCGAAAGCGUGGGGAUCAAACAGGAUUAGAUACCCUGGUAGUCCACGCCGUAAACGAUGAGUGCUAAGUGUUAGGGGGUUUCCGCCCCUUAGUGCUGCAGCUAACGCAUUAAGCACUCCGCCUGGGGAGUACGACCGCAAGGUUGAAACUCAAAGGAAUUGACGGGGACCCGCACAAGCGGUGGAGCAUGUGGUUUAAUUCGAAGCAACGCGAAGAACCUUACCAAAUCUUGACAUCCUUUGACAACUCUAGAGAUAGAGCCUUCCCCUUCGGGGGACAAAGUGACAGGUGGUGCAUGGUUGUCGUCAGCUCGUGUCGUGAGAUGUUGGGUUAAGUCCCGCAACGAGCGCAACCCUUAAGCUUAGUUGCCAUCAUUAAGUUGGGCACUCUAAGUUGACUGCCGGUGACAAACCGGAGGAAGGUGGGGAUGACGUCAAAUCAUCAUGCCCCUUAUGAUUUGGGCUACACACGUGCUACAAUGGACAAUACAAAGGGCAGCGAAACCGCGAGGUCAAGCAAAUCCCAUAAAGUUGUUCUCAGUUCGGAUUGUAGUCUGCAACUCGACUACAUGAAGCUGGAAUCGCUAGUAAUCGUAGAUCAGCAUGCUACGGUGAAUACGUUCCCGGGUCU
RNAcentral lists this ribosomal RNA (1374 nucleotides) under uncultured bacterium. Its description in RNAcentral is "bacterial SSU rRNA". It matches the Rfam family "Bacterial small subunit ribosomal RNA", at positions 28 to 1381 of the family's 1533-position model. The record is from RNAcentral.